AGCAUUAUACGGCGAAACUGCGAAUGGCUCAUUAUAUAAGUUAUCGUUUAUUUGAUAGCACCUUACUACUUGGAUAACCGUGGUAAUUCUAGAGCUAAUACAUGCUAAAAAUCCCGACUUCGGAAGGGAUGUAUUUAUUAGAUUAAAAACCAAUGCCCUCUGGGCUCUCUGGUGAUUCAUGAUAACUUCUCGAAUCGCAUGGCCUUGCGCCGGCGAUGGUUCAUUCAAAUUUCUUCCCUAUCAACUUUCGAUGUUUGGGUAGUGGCCAAACAUGGUUGCAACGGGUAACGGAGGGUUAGGGCUCGACCCCGGAGAAGGAGCCUGAGAAACGGCUACUACAUCCAAGGAAGGCAGCAGGCGCGCAAAUUACCCAAUCCCGACACGGGGAGGUAGUGACAAUAAAUACUGAUACAGGGCUCUUUUGGGUCUUGUAAUUGGAAUGAGUACAAUUUAAAUCCCUUAACGAGGAACAAUUGGAGGGCAAGUCUGGUGCCAGCAGCCGCGGUAAUUCCAGCUCCAAUAGCGUAUAUUAAAGUUGUUGUGGUUAAAAAGCUCGUAGUUGAACCUUGGGCCUGGCUGGCCGGUCCGCCUCACCGCGUGCACUGGUCCGGCCGGGCCUUUCCCUCUGUGGAACCCCAUGCCCUUCACUGGGUGUGGCGGGGAAACAGGACUUUUACUUUGAAAAAAUUAGAGUGCUCCACGCAGCCUAUGCUCGAAUACAUUAGCAUGGAAUAAUGAAAUAGGACGUGCGGUUCUAUUUUGUUGGUUUCUAGGACCGCCGUAAUGAUUAAUAGGGACAGUCGGGGCAUCAGUAUUCAAUUGUCAGAGGUGAAAUUCUGGAUUUUAUUGAGACUAACUACUGCGAAAGCAUUUG
This 874-nucleotide ribosomal RNA is filed under the name Purpureocillium lilacinum. RNAcentral's name for it is "SSU rRNA". It matches the Rfam family "Eukaryotic small subunit ribosomal RNA", at positions 68 to 957 of the family's 1831-position model. Lineage: Eukaryota; Fungi; Ascomycota; Sordariomycetes; Hypocreales; Ophiocordycipitaceae. The record is from RNAcentral.